Molecule: ribosomal RNA, 506 nt
Filed under: uncultured bacterium
Lineage: Bacteria
Description: partial 16S ribosomal RNA
Rfam family: Bacterial small subunit ribosomal RNA
Source: RNAcentral
AGUGAACGCUGGCGGUAGGCCCAACACAUGCAAGUCGAACGGCAGCACAGGAGAGCUUGCUCUCUGGGUGGCGAGUGGCGGACGGGUGAGGAAUACAUCGGAAUCUACUUUUUCGUGGGGGAUAACGUAGGGAAACUUACGCUAAUACCGCAUACGACCUACGGGUGAAAGCAGGGGACCUUCGGGCCUUGCGCGAUUGAAUGAGCCGAUGUCGGAUUAGCUAGUUGGCGGGGUAAAGGCCCACCAAGGCGACGAUCCGUAGCUGGUCUGAGAGGAUGAUCAGCCACACUGGAACUGAGACACGGUCCAGACUCCUACGGGAGGCAGCAGUGGGGAAUAUUGGACAAUGGGCGCAAGCCUAAUCCAGCCAUACCGCGUGGGUGAAGAAGGCCUUCGGGUUGUAAAGCCCUUUUGUUGGGAAAGAAAUCCAGCUGGCUAAUACCCGGUUGGGAUGACGGUACCCAAAGAAUAAGCACCGGCUAACUUCGUGCCAGCAGCCGCCGUAA